RNAcentral lists this long non-coding RNA (4174 nucleotides) under Callithrix jacchus (white-tufted-ear marmoset). RNAcentral describes it as "lncRNA (ENSCJAG00000079470.1)". Lineage: Eukaryota; Metazoa; Chordata; Mammalia; Primates; Cebidae. The record is from RNAcentral.
AUGGUGAUCAGAGAAUUUACUGAUCACACUUCAUCAGGGCUCAUUGACCAGUGCAACUCCCUGAUUGUCUGUUCCACAGGGGCAUGGGGAAGCAACUGUCUGUUAAUCCACAAGCAAUGGAAGCAUUAUUGCCUGAAGAAAAUGACUAAAAUGAUAGCCAAGAAUACCAAUGUCCAGGAAAGAGUCCUGGGAAAUAGGAUUUACAUAUACAUGUGGACAUGAGCACAACCCACAGGAUCACUUGCACAGUCACUUUCACCUGAGCUGACAGGUCUCUUACACUGUACCACCCAGUCCAUGUCUGCAGCCUUCGGGAGCAUGACAUCCCUUCGGCUGGAGACUGCCUGGCCUGCUCUUCUCCUUCUCAGGUACCCCGUGUAUCUAAUAGGUUUACCUACCCAGAUGUGUUCCUGAUGAUGAUGCUGGUUUCACUUGCAAAUUCCCACAUUAUUCCUACCCCUCUGGUUUGGGUGUUUUAAUUUUACUGGAUAAUGAUCGUGGUGAUUUUAAACAUUUCCUGUUGCUUGUUAAACUGCCUGCCCGAUUCAGCUCCAAAUAACAGCUUUUGCAUGCAAGUGAAAAUUUAGCUCCUAGUAUUUAACAACUACUAUAAUUUUAAAAUCUACUUUCAAUUAAGAAAACCUUGUAAUUCUAAAAAGUGGUUGUGUUCCAAAGAAGUGCUGAAAUGUCAACUGAAUACAAGUCCACUUUAUGUCUGGCAGGAACUGUUCAGUUUUCCUGUGGCUUAGCAUUGAAAAGCUCCCUCCAAAGUGCUGCUGACAGGCUUGGUCUAGAGUGGUGUUUAACAUUUGUCUUUGUACAUCUCCCCAUGGUGUCAGAACAAUCUUCAGCAAUCACAAGAGGUGAAAAGAGCUAGAAUAAAAUAUUUGUUAAAUCUAAAUAUACACAAUUGACGUUUUUCAAGAAAAUGUGCAUAAGGAAUGUAUUAUUGAUUUUAACAAUGAAGAUCACUUAUGAUUCUGGAAACAAGGUAGCUUUUGAGAAUAUGACAAUCAUCUCCUUUAUGUUGACAAAACUCUAUAUAGAUGGAUUAGUUUUACAAAGAAAAGAAUAAUCUUUACACACCACACCUUUUUGACACUUAGUCUAGUAGCACUCUGUCACUGAAGAAUCAAGUUCAAGUUCAAUGGAAAAUUUCCUUUAUAUUUUAAAAUUUAAUUUAUGUUGAAAUUAAUGCAGGUAGUUGACAUAGAAGUGAGUUAAAUAAUUUACAUGGAGUACUUGGAGAUCCUACUUGGUACAUAAAAGACUUGAAAUCUCUCAGCUGAUCAUUUACUGGGCAGUUGCUGACUGUGUUUAUGGGCAUAAGAGAAAUCAGAAUUUCUUUAAAAAGAAAAGUUUCCUUAAAAAAAUCUAAAAUCAGAGGUAUCAUAUAAUCCAGCAAUUCCAUUGCUAGGUAGAGAACCAAAAGAAAGGAAAUCAGUAUAUUGAAGAGAUAUCUGCACUCCAUGUCUGUUGAAUCACUGCUCACAUAGCUAAGAUUUGGAAGCAACUUGUGUCCAUCAGCAGAUGAAUGGGUAAAGAAAACGUGGUACUUAUACACAAUGGGGUACUAUUCAGUCAUAAAAAGAAUGAGAUCCUAUCAUUUGGAAAACCGUGGACACAACUGGAGAUCAUUAUGUUAAGUGAAAUAAGCCAGACACAGAAAGACAAACAUCACAUGUUCUCAUUGACUUGUGGGAUCUAAAACUCAAAACAAUCAAAAUCUUGGUCAUAGAGAGUAGAAGUAUGGUUAUCAGAGUCUGGGAAAGGCAGUGCAGUCGGGAGUAGGGGUGGGGUAUGCAGGGGAGAUUGGGAUGAUUUAUGGACACACGAAAAAAUGGACCGAAAGAAUGAAAAAGACCUACUAUUUAAUAGCACAACAGAAUGAUGGUCAAUAACAACUGUACAUUUUAAAACAACUAAAUGAGUGAAACUGGACUGUAAUACAAAGGAUAAAUAGUUGAGGAGAUGGAUACCCCAUUUUCUAUGAUGUGAUCAUUACACAUUGCAUGCCUGUAUUAAAACAUCUUAUGUACCCAAUGAAUAUAUAUACCUGCUACAUGCUCACAAAAAUAAAAAUAAACAAAACAAAGCAAAAACAGUACAAUCUUUAAUAGUAUAACGUACAAAAGGUCAGGCCAUUUCUAUGCUAAAAUGAAAGAAAGAGCAAAUUUGUGGUAAAUUGUAUAGCUUUUGCUCCCCUGGCAAUGUUUAUUGUAUAAUUGGGUCUUUCUUCUAUGCAUUUUUAAAGUAAGCAUCAUUAAAAACAUUUAAUCAAAACAUGUUUUUAUUUAUUUGUAAGAAAUUAUAUUUCAACAGAUGUAGGUUAAAGAUGUGCUAGUUUGGUUUUAUUUUGUUAUUUUAUCUUCUUAAUUUUCCUUUCAGAUCAUCACUCAGCCUUGCUGAAUUGUUUUGAUUAGAGAGAGAGGUCUUUGAGAUGGUUUGCAGUGAGUGCUUCAUGGUUUGUGCAGGCAGGCAGGCAGUAUUCUUUUUGUCUUUUUAUCCGGCCAAGGACAUCUACAUGUUAUAUCAAUAGGUGCACAAAAAUUUGUAGAUGGGGGUGGAACACAAGUUUCAUUCUCUCCAUAGACACAGUACUAAAAAUAUCAACUUGAACACAUUUCUAUUUGAGAAGCCUCAAGGUUUGUCCUUUCCCUGGGUUGUGCAUGUUCUUCCUUUUAAUACGCUUUUUUAAAAAAAUGCCGGAGGAAAUUUAAGCAGUGUUUAUUAAAGCAGAAAUGUAUUGAUGACAUGUGUUGGAGGUUUUAUUUCAAUCCCUCGAGUUCUGCAAUGAACAGAUCUGUUUUACACUCAGCCCAGGCAGACUAAUUUACCCACUGGCCCUUCUGUCGAAUACCUGGUGAUUUUAUUUUUCAUCAGUGAUAUGGUUCUGUUGCCCCCAUUAAAAGAUACAUGUUUAAUUAAAACUUUUAAAGAAAAUGUGAGAAAAUCUUAUUUAAAGAAGUUUAUCACACAUUAUAAAGAACUUUUUGAGAUAGAAAAAAUUUUAAGAGGAAAAAAAAGCCUUAAUUUUUUAACUGUUUGUAGUGAUGUUCAAUGACAUUGCUUUGAUAUAGAGAGUGUGCUAAGGGCUGUUACCUGACUUUCUGAGAUCAACCCAUUUUAAUGUACUUGUCCAAUAAUUAACUCAAUACUAGGCAAAAGUGGUCGUCCAAAUUCCAACAUAAAGUUCUAAUACGAAGCCUGGUAUGGGGCAUUCAAGCUCAUUGCAGCAAACAGGUUUCUGAGUGUGGCUUUUUCUUUCAUGCAGAGAAGGGACUGAUAAAUUUCCCAAACUGUGAAAAGAAAAUUAUUUUCUGUUUUUUCUUUCGUUCUUCUUCAUUUUUUUUUUUUUUUUUUUUUUUGGUUUCUGAAACUGAUUACUCUGUUGUCUUCAUUAUUCACAGAUCCGCUUGCCAUUUUCCGUAACAAAGGCAGGGGCUAAACUUAUCUUAGCUGUUGCCCACAAUUUAUGAAGAGAUAAUCCGGUUCAUAGGAAAUGAGGUACUUCAAGUAUUCGAGGAAUGGCAAGUAUUUCUUUGUCAGCAUGGAUUCAGCUUCAAAUACGUCUCCUACUGAUCUCUGGACUACUGCUCUAUGCCACAUUGAUCCAUGCAGGAAUAAUUGUAAAGAGUUCCCAGAAUUUCUUUUACUAUCAGAAAAAAAAACACCCUGGAAUCAUUUCGCCCGUGGUUUAUAGUGAUAAAAGCUGUCUGAGCAUUUUGAGCUUGUAGCUGUGGAUAAGGUGUGUAAUUUGUUUGGUGCUAAGUUCUGUGACAUGAAAAGUAAAUUACAAUUGGGAAGGGUAGUGGGAAGAGGGAUACUAUUAUUUAAAAAAAAAAAGGAAGAAGAAGAAAAGAAAAACCAUUUUUUCAGCAGCAAGGAUUUUUAAGAUUUAAUUUCCCCCACCACUGAAUUUGCUGGCUUGAGCCUACUCAUCAGCUUCAUUGCCACCCAUAAAAGCACAUGGAUUUUAAGCUGAUGAAAAAGGUGAACAUGGGUUAUACCUUUUCCUCUGCCAAUGCUAUGAGAAUAUCUUGGUUCACUAGAAGAAUUGCUGACAGAUAAAAAUGAAUAGAAUAUCAUUUGUAUAUUUUGUAUUCAUAUUGGAUAGCAAAUGCCUGUAAAAUAUUCCUAAAAUUGUGCAUAACCUUUGACUCAGAUAAAUCAC